UCCCUGGUGGCUCAGAGGUUAAAGCAUCUGCCUGCAAUGCAGGAGAGCCUGGUUUGAUCCCUGGGUCGGGAA
Molecule: transfer RNA, 72 nt
Filed under: Ovis aries (sheep)
Lineage: Eukaryota; Metazoa; Chordata; Mammalia; Artiodactyla; Bovidae
Rfam family: tRNA
About the family: Transfer RNA (tRNA) molecules are approximately 80 nucleotides in length.
Source: Rfam by way of RNAcentral